GGGCCAGUGGCGCAACGGAUAACGCGCUUGACUACGGAUCAGGAGAUUCUAGGUUCGAAUCCUGGCUGGCGCC
This 73-nucleotide transfer RNA is filed under the name Stegodyphus mimosarum. It matches the Rfam family "tRNA". From Rfam's summary of the family: Transfer RNA (tRNA) molecules are approximately 80 nucleotides in length. Their secondary structure includes four short double-helical elements and three loops (D, anti-codon, and T loops). Lineage: Eukaryota; Metazoa; Arthropoda; Arachnida; Araneae; Eresidae. The record is from Rfam by way of RNAcentral.